GGAGUGCAGGCACAUCUGGGGUCUGUGCUCGCUGAAGGUGAGCACCAGUUGCAGGUGGCGGGCCGGUUCGAGUUCGGGAUCUUCG
RNAcentral lists this transfer RNA (85 nucleotides) under Aeromonas hydrophila. Its description in RNAcentral is "tRNA-Phe(gaa)". Lineage: Bacteria; Pseudomonadati; Pseudomonadota; Gammaproteobacteria; Aeromonadales; Aeromonadaceae. The record is from RNAcentral.